GGAGGAGCACAACUAUCUUGCAAAGAAAUGCAGCCGCAAAAAAAAAAAAAAAUUUGGAUCUCAAUUUCACACUAGCUGUUCAAAACUUACGUCACACAAUACCCCCACUGUUUCUCUCCACUAGCAGGCACCCUACAUGUCAAAUACAUAACGGCCUAAAUCAAACUUUAGAUUAAGGAAAAGAAAUUGAAGACAAAGGAUGUCUGACCAUUUGAUUUAUUGAAUCAUUUGAGAGAACAAGGACAAAACAAAUGAGCAGGAGUCACUUUACAGUCGCCCCAUACACAGCCUAUAUUAACAUUAGGAGGCAAUCUUUUUCAAAGCCACAUGGAAGACAUAACCCACCUAAUUCUACUGUCCUCGGUCCUCAAUUUCGUGGGAAAGAUUUCCUAUCAGAUUCUGAAAAAUCCACAAAUUUAAGUGCGAAUGGGUCUUUUUCAUAAUGCAUAUAACUGGGUGGUUUAUAGUAUUGGGGUGGCUCUUUGGGAGGCUGGUUGGCAGAAGGUUUGCAUUCAGCUGCUGCAGUUGUAGUACAGGGUUGAGGAGUGGUGGUUAUAGGUGGUGCGGUAGGGGUUUUCUGAGGUUGCACUGGGUAUUGUGGAUAAAAUUGCUGCAAAUAAUCUGGGAAAUUUGGGUAAUGGCUAUGCUGAGGGAAUAGACUUCCAGGGUACACUGGGGGUUGCGGUUUCUGGUUUAUUGCUGGCGAAUCUGGUGGGAGAGGAGUGGGGAUGGCUGGAGCUGGUUUCACAGUAGUAUUUGGUUUGCCAUGAUAGUCACUGUAGUAAUAUGGCCACAUAUGGGGUUGCCUUGGAAACUGAGGUUUCUGGGUUGGCACUUGGCCAUCUGAUGGAGAUUGCCCUGCUGGCUUAGCUGUGGGAUAUGGCCACAUCAUAUGGGGGUACUUCGGAAACUGAGGUUUCUGGAUUGGCACUUGGCCAUCUGAUGGAGAUUGCCCUGCUGGCUUAGCGGUGGGAUAUGGCCACAUCAUAUGGGGGUGCUUUGGAAAUUGAGGCUUCUGGGUUGGCACUUGGCCAUCUGCUGGAGAUUGCCCUGCUGGCUUAUCUGUGGGAUAACCCUUGCCAGGAUAAUGGGAAUAUGGAUAUGGCCACAUCAUCUGGGGGUGCUUUGGAAACUGAGGUUUCUGGGUUGGCACUUGGCCAUCUGCUGGAGAUUGCCCUGCUGGCUUAGCUGUGGGAUAACCCUUGCCAGGAUAAUGGGAGUAGGGAUAUGGCCACAUCAUAGGGGGGUGCUUUGGAAACUGAGGUUUCUGGGUUGGCACUUGGGCAUCUGAUGGAGAUUGCCCUGCUGGCUCAGCUGUGGGAUAACCCUUGCCAGAAUAUUGGUAACGAGGGUAGUUGUAAGGCCAAAACCCUUGCUGAAACUCUUCAGGGUAGCCGUAAAAUGGCGGUUUGAGAGCUGCAGAUAGUUCUGGCAUUGUACUUAUUUGUAGAUUAAAUUCAUCAGGAUAAAGGGGAGGCAGCAGAAUCUGCUGAUAUGAAGGAUCAUGAGGUCCUAGAAAAGUGUCGUUUGCAGUUGUAGAGGUCAUAGGACAAGAAAUGACUGCACGGUUUCCCUGCCAUUGCAUCUGCAUCACAUAACUCCCUCCCUGAAAGACAUGAACAUUCAGGUUGGUCUUCCUAACUCUGUGUACAUACUAAAUGGAACAGAGAAAGUAAUACCUGUUGUGCAACGCCACAUCCAUCAUAGGGGGUAGCAUAGAUAAGACCACCAUAAGUGGGUAUGGUAGAUCCACAGUUAGGCGGCAACUCACUGAGGGGAACAGCUGCCCCAUUACC
Molecule: long non-coding RNA, 1796 nt
Organism: Cyprinus carpio carpio
Lineage: Eukaryota; Metazoa; Chordata; Actinopteri; Cypriniformes; Cyprinidae
Source: Ensembl